Molecule: long non-coding RNA, 1608 nt
Filed under: Homo sapiens (human)
Lineage: Eukaryota; Metazoa; Chordata; Mammalia; Primates; Hominidae
Description: non-protein coding WEE2-AS1:17
Source: RNAcentral
GUGCGCGGGCGGAUGGAUCAACGCCGCCAAGUGGGGAAAGCGCGAAUGCAGUCCCCCACUACAACAAAUUAUGCAGUCGAGUUUUCCACAUUUGGGAAUAUCACAGGGGUCAGCACAUCCGGAGUGCAAUCGAUGAGCCCCACGCUGGGAAAAACCACCUUCGUGAUCAUGGUAUCUUCCCUGCCAGAGAGAAACCAAUCAGCUUCAUUUUCAACUUCUUCUAUGACUCCAGAGGAUUCACUUUGCAUCUUGUGACAAAUGAAUAUAUUACCUGAAAAAAAAAUGACAGGAUAGAUAUUGAAGAAAUAAUUUUUUAUAGGACUCUGGAGUGAAGGGAUUAAUAUUGACCAGAGCCAAUGAGGUCAUCUCAUCCUUGAGGGGAGCAGGUGUGAGCUUCAAAUGCUUAGGGCCUCUGGAAGGAAGCUUCCCUGUUGGAGAAAUCACCAACCGGCUCAGCAUGGUCUGAAUGAGGAUGACAAAAGGAGUUGCUGCACAGGGGGAAAGCGAAGUUCCCAGGAGUAAGAUGUGCAAGAAGCGGGCAGCCUUGCAUCUCAGGGCUGAGUUCCCUCAACUGUGUGCUUGAGGGAAGUUCUCCCCUUGCAGACACACUGCUGAGUGAUAAGGAAGCACCUAGACUCCACUCUGACCAGACUUGGUUCUGAGGCCUAUGAAAUGUUGAUGGGAAGAACAGAAGCAGGAAAAUCUAUCUAUUCAAAUUUGCAAGACGUGGAAACUUUUAUUCACCUUCCUGGUUAGACUGUUCCUUUGUCAAAGUAAAGCUAAGGCCAUGGAAAAUGAGCUAUUUGAGAGUUUGUCGCUCCAAGGAAGAACAUGCUGGCCUAAUUGUCCCCCAAGUCAGGAGAGAGAAUUGUAAAAAACACUUAAACAGGCCUAAGUAAAGGUCCAGCACAUUAUUUAUUUAAGACUGAAUUAGAACUGAGUCAUUCCGACUCUGAAAAAAGAGUGUUGUUGGAUUCUUAUGUAUUUAAUGGGUCUGCCCUAUUGAAAACCAUUGUGAAGUAUGGUUUCCCAAGCAAGAAAUGACACUUUCACUGUCAGUCUUUCUAGGAGUCUGGCAGAAUCCAGGACCGGGAUUACCCUUAUUUAUGAAGCGACCUUAGACUAACAGUGGCUCUCUGGGUCUCCAGACAAUUGGCCAGGGACUCUAAAAACCAGAAACAAAGUUGAGAGAACUCCAUGCUGGUGGAGAAAAACAGCUGGCCUUUAUCACCAGAAUGUGCCCCAUAGAAGCAGCAAAGCAGCAAGCGACGUUCUUAAACAAGGGCCUGUGGGCCUCGUCAAGAUCUGGAGGAAUCAUCUACGACUCACUGCUGAGUGAGAGGGCUAGGCAGUGUCUUUAAGGUCCUGCCAGCUUUAACAUUGUAUGCUUUUUCUUUUGUUCAAUCUCUCACCACAACUGGAAGUGUUGCCUCAACUACACAGGAGAAAGUUUGCAGUAACUUAGAGAAAACAUUAUUUUAAUCACCAGUGUAUGUUCUCCUGCUCCCUGGACAAAUCCAUCAGCAGCGGCAACACUGACCAGGUCCAGAUUGGGGCCGCUGCGGUGGAUGUGAAUCCAUUGAAACUAGGGGUCUCCAGUGCUCCUGA